Molecule: ribosomal RNA, 253 nt
Filed under: uncultured bacterium
Lineage: Bacteria
Description: partial 16S ribosomal RNA
Rfam family: Bacterial small subunit ribosomal RNA
Source: RNAcentral
UACGUAGGGGGCUAGCGUUGUCCGGAAUUACUGGGCGUAAAGGGCUCGUAGGUUGCCAACUAAGUCAGACGUGAAAUCCCUCAGCUUAACUGGGGAACUGCGUCUGAUACUGGAUGGCUUGAGUUUGGGAGAGGGAUGCGGAAUUCCAGGUGUAGCGGUGAAAUGCGUAGAUAUCUGGAGGAACACCGGUGGCGAAGGCGGCAUCCUGGACCAACACUGACACUGAGGAGCGAAAGCCAGGGGAGCAAACGGG